CAAUCUGCCUUGGAGUGGGGAAUAACGGCUGGAAACAGCCGCUAAUACCGCAUGAAGCAGCUGGGAGGCAUCUCCCUGGCUGCCAAAGAUUUAUCGCUCUGAGAUGAGCUCGCGUCUGAUUAGCUGGUUGGCGGGGUAACGGCCCACCAAGGCGACGAUCAGUAGCCGGACUGAGAGGUUGGCCGGCCACAUUGGGACUGAGACACGGCCCAGACUCCUACGGGAGGCAGCAG
This 233-nucleotide ribosomal RNA is filed under the name uncultured bacterium. Its description in RNAcentral is "partial 16S ribosomal RNA". It matches the Rfam family "Bacterial small subunit ribosomal RNA", at positions 122 to 354 of the family's 1533-position model. The record is from RNAcentral.